AGGCAAAAGAAUCAAAGAGAGCAAUCCAAAGGUCACGCCCUCUUCUCCCCACCCCUAUUCCGGCAUUCCCCCAAAUGUUCCCCGGCUCUGCCAGAUCGCCGGCGACCUCCUCCCCAGUCGCCUCGGAUCAGCCAGCAGCUCCCGCCUGCUCCUCCUAGGGAAGCCCAGGGAUCAGCACCGUACCGCGGAAUCUGUUGCAGCGACGGUGGGGCCAAGCGGGGGCAGAGGGGAUGACUAGCCUGUCGAUCAAUGUGAUGACGCUGAAUCUGCACGAAGGCGAGCAGUCGAGCGAGAGCCCAAACAGCUGGGAAAAGCGCCGGGACAUCUGCGUCAGCGUCAUCACCAGCUACUCACCCACCAUCCUCUGCACCCAGCAAGGCUUGAGAUGGCAACUGGACUACCUACAACAGUGCUUACCAGGUUAUGAACAGUUUGGAAUCUCAAGAAAAGGCUCACAGGACACCACUGAUGAAUACUGCACAAUAUUCUAUGAAAAAGAAAAGGUGGAGCUUUCUGAAGGUGGCACAUUUUGGUUGUCAGAAUCACCAUCAGUGCCAGGAAGCAUUUCAUGGGGAGCAACUGCACCUUGCAUUGCGACAUGGGCAACGUUUCAACUCAAAAGAUUAGAACCACCAGGAUUCAGUUUCCAGAUCGUAAAUACCAAUCUUGACGAAGUAAGCCCUCGUGCUCGACGAAGAAGCGCUCUGCUUACAUGGCAACAUAUAGCAUCCUUGCCACCCAAUUUGCCUGUUAUCUAUUGUGGAGGCUUCAACACGCAGAAGGAAUCUAUGACUGGGCGGUUUUUGCUUGGCAGAUCCAGAGAACAUGGUGUUGUUGGUGAUAUGAGAGAUGCUUGGCCUAAUGCACGGGUGCGAAAAAAUGUUUCACUAAUACAUACAUAUCAUGGAUUUAAAGGGUUCCUACUCUGAAAGCUGUGGCUGCUUAUCUCUCAGAUGGAUGUUAAAAAUGCCUUUCUUCUUGGUGAUUUACAUGAGGCAGUUUAUAUGCAGCCACCACCAGGUGUUAAUGCACCUCCAAGGUAUGUUCGUCAUCUUUGUCGUGCCUUAUAUGGUCUUAAACAGGCUCCACAUGCUUGGUUUGAAUGCUUUGUAUCAGUGAUACGAGAUGCUGGUUUCUCACAAAGCGAUCAUAAUCCUGCCUUAUUUGUUCAUCUCUCUCCAUGUGGGCGUAUUUUGCUGCUUCUCUGUGUUGAUGAUAUGCUAAUUACUAGAGAUGAUAUUGAUCACAUUAAUCAUGUGAAGCAACAACUUGGCGAGCAAUUUCAGAUGUUUGAUUUGGGUACUCAGUUAUUUCUUAGAGAUUGAGGUCCUACGUUCUUCCAAGGGCUAUUAUCUCUCUCAAUCUAAGUAUAUACGGGACCUUAUUGCAUGUUCUGGCAUUACUGAUAGUCGGACGGCUGCCACACCCAUGGACCUUCACUUGCAACUUUGUCCUACAAAUGGUACUCCUCUAGAGGAUCCCUCUCGAUAUCGGCAUAUUGUGAGCAGUCUUAUUUAUCUCACUAUCACCAGACCUAACAUUGCUCAUGCGAUACAUAUCUUAAGUCAGUUUGUGAGUGUUCCAACUUCAAUUCACUUUGGAGUUGGACAUUUGCUUGGUGUGCUAAGAUACUUGAGGGGGACAUCAUCUUGGUGUUUAUUCUAUGCUCACAAUAGCUCGCUUUGUCUCCAUGCCUAUUCCGACACCACUUGGGUGAGUGAUCCAACUGAUCCCCGUUCUGUCCCUGGUUAUUGUAUCUUUCUUGGAUCUUCUCUAGCAUGGAAGUCCAGGAAGCAGUCAACUGUCACUCGAUCUAGUACUGAGGCAGAACUUUGGGCACUUGCUACUAUUGUGUUGCAUGCACCGAUCAGUUCAACCCAAAAGCUUAAGCUGAUGGGGAAGGGUGGGCAAUUCACUUAUAUUCCAACACCCCCCUCACGUGUAGUCUCGCUCAGGCCUCAGAUGUGGAAUAGGAGCGAGCAACAAUUAUUUUAUUUAAUUGUGCUAACCAUGAUUCGAACUCGAGACCUUUGGCUUUGAUACCAUAUUAAGUUGCAUGCACCGACCAAUCUAACCCAAAAGCUUAAGUUGAUGGGGAGAGGUGGGCAAUUCACUUAUAUUCCAACAGCUACUCCCACUUAUGAGAUUGUGUGGCUCCAAUGGCUAUUUGCUGAUUUUGACACUUCUUGUGAUGCUUCCACACCUCUUCUUUGUGACAAUACUGGAGCCAUACAGAUUGCCAAAGACCCCGUGAAGCAUGAACUUAUAAAGCAUAUUGGUGUUGAUGCUUCCUUCACUCGGUCUAACUGUCAUCAGAACACGAUUGCUCUUCAGUAUGUGCCAUCAAAACUGCAACUGGCAGACUUCUUUACUAAAGCACAAACUCGAGAACAACAGCGGUUACAUAUGCUCAAACUCAAUGCUUCAGAUCCUCCACCUCGGUCUUGAGUUUGAAGGGGGGCGUUAAGAAGCAUAUCUAUAUUAGGCCCAUGGCCCUUAUUCUUCUCUAGGCCCAUAUAUGGCUACUGCUGUACAUAUACACAUCAUGGACUUUUGCCUCACUAUCUCUGGUCAUCUUCUCCAAAGGGGAGAAACAAGGUGCGGUAGAAUUUCUCAAAUUAAUAUUUAGAGCACUUUGCCUGUGCUGGGAUCGACAGACACAGGACUUGCAUAUUGACUGGAUACUAUUUAGAGGGCGCCCACUCGUUCCUGCACUUUGUGAGGUCAUAAAUGACAAUAUAGACGGUGUUUAUCCAUCCUCACACUUUCCCAUCUUUGCUGAGUUCUUGCUUCCACGCUCGGUCCGGUUAGCUGAGACACAGUCAUAGUCCUCGUGUGUUGUCCUCAUGAGAUUUUUUUUUGUUUUUAUUUCCCAUACAUAUUUCGAGUAUGUCCCACUGUUUCUUCCGUGGCGGUACUUUGAUCUGGAAACGACAUCACAUCCCGCUUGAGCACACCUCCAGGUUUCUUUUGUCAUCCCAUUACAAUGAACAACACAAUCAGCAUAUGCACCCGUUGUCAUGAGGCUUGUUUCAAGGGCAAUGGGCUAUUCUGUUACCUCUGCUUGCUAUUCUAUUUUGUUCACAUAUUCAUUAAGCUGUUUCUGAGAUUUUCAUGUGUAUAUAUAACUGUAUCUAUACAAGUUCUUUAUGACAAUUGUGAGAUCUUGAAGUAAAUUAGCUGAUGUGAUGAAAAAUCAAGAUUUUUCAUUUUGCA
Molecule: RNA transcript, 3216 nt
Organism: Panicum virgatum (switchgrass)
Lineage: Eukaryota; Viridiplantae; Streptophyta; Magnoliopsida; Poales; Poaceae
Exons: 8
Source: RefSeq, a predicted model, not a curated record